RNAcentral lists this ribosomal RNA (1193 nucleotides) under Salmonella enterica. Its description in RNAcentral is "partial 23S ribosomal RNA". It matches the Rfam family "Bacterial large subunit ribosomal RNA", at positions 1178 to 2354 of the family's 2925-position model. The record is from RNAcentral. Lineage: Bacteria; Pseudomonadati; Pseudomonadota; Gammaproteobacteria; Enterobacterales; Enterobacteriaceae.
GGGCUAAACCAUGCACCGAAGCUGCGGCAGCGACACUGUGUGUUGUUGGGUAGGGGAGCGUUCUGUAAGCCUGUGAAGGUGUGUCGUGAGGCAUGCUGGAGGUAUCAGAAGUGCGAAUGCUGACAUAAGUAACGAUAAAGCGGGUGAAAAGCCCGCUCGCCGGAAGACCAAGGGUUCCUGUCCAACGUUAAUCGGGGCAGGGUGAGUCGACCCCUAAGGCGAGGCCGAAAGGCGUAGUCGAUGGGAAACGGGUUAAUAUUCCCGUACUUGGUGUUACUGCGAAGGGGGGACGGAGAAGGCUAUGUUGGCCGGGCGACGGUUGUCCCGGUUUAAGCGUGUAGGUGUGUGUUCCAGGUAAAUCCGGUUCACUUUAACACUGAGGCGUGACGACGAGGCACUACGGUGCUGAAGCAACAAAUGCCCUGCUUCCAGGAAAAGCCUCUAAGCAUCAGGUAACAUCAAAUCGUACCCCAAACCGACACAGGUGGUCAGGUAGAGAAUACCAAGGCGCUUGAGAGAACUCGGGUGAAGGAACUAGGCAAAAUGGUGCCGUAACUUCGGGAGAAGGCACGCUGACACGUAGGUGAAGUGAUUUACUCAUGGAGCUGAAGUCAGUCGAAGAUACCAGCUGGCUGCAACUGUUUAUUAAAAACACAGCACUGUGCAAACACGAAAGUGGACGUAUACGGUGUGACGCCUGCCCGGUGCCGGAAGGUUAAUUGAUGGGGUCAGCGCAAGCGAAGCUCCUGAUCGAAGCCCCGGUAAACGGCGGCCGUAACUAUAACGGUCCUAAGGUAGCGAAAUUCCUUGUCGGGUAAGUUCCGACCUGCACGAAUGGCGUAAUGAUGGCCAGGCUGUCUCCACCCGAGACUCAGUGAAAUUGAACUCGCUGUGAAGAUGCAGUGUACCCGCGGCAAGACGGAAAGACCCCGUGAACCUUUACUAUAGCUUGACACUGAACAUUGAGCCUUGAUGUGUAGGAUAGGUGGGAGGCUUUGAAGUGUGGACGCCAGUCUGCAUGGAGCCGACCUUGAAAUACCACCCUUUAAUGUUUGAUGUUCUAACGUGGACCCGUUACCCGGGUUGCGGACAGUGUCUGGUGGGUAGUUUGACUGGGGCGGUCUCCUCCUAAAGAGUAACGGAGGAGCACGAAGGUUGGCUAAUCCUGGUCGGACAUCAGGAGGUUAGUGCAA